UUUCAGCGUGUCUUUCUAUUUGGAGUCGAAAGGUUUCAGCAGCUGAAAAAUGAAGAUGACAGCUAAGUACAGUGGAUAUUGAAGAAAACUGAAGAGCAUUAUUUGUGAAGUAAGGCAUUGCUCAACGCGUGAAAAAUGGCCCAGGUAUUAUUCAGAGUCCGAGAUAAAUUCUCAUGUCUCUGAAAAACACUCAUCAUCAUCCUCGUACGGAGUUUAAACGCUUUGACCUCUUUGCGCUCUACGCUGGUAAACGUGACGGAGCAGAAAGUGGUAUAUUCUCAACAGCCUCUUCUAACAGCUGUCCAGGAAGGAUGAUGGAGGGCGAACUUGGAACUGCUGAAACAACCUGCCCUGCUAUAUUAGCUCAGAGAAUAGCACACCGCUGCCAACAGCAAAACUGAAGUUAUUUCAGAUCUUUCAUCAUUUCUAGACUCAGGAGAAAAUUUUAAAAGAAGGUAAUGUUUGUCCUUUAUAUUUGUUUAUUGCUACGCUAAUGAAAGGAGAGAGUAUUACAUGUAACCUUUUGUAAGAGAGAGGAAAAGAAAAAUAAAAGCUUUUAUCUGAGCCUCAAAUACUUAGUGUAUAUCUAGCAUUGCACUAAAUAGGAUUUUAUGGUUUCUAGGAAGUGCCAAGUUGUAAUUCCUAUCCAGCAGUAACAGGGAAUAUUUC
Numida meleagris (helmeted guineafowl) is the source of this 669-nucleotide long non-coding RNA. RefSeq lists it as uncharacterized. NCBI's taxonomy places the organism in Eukaryota, Metazoa, Chordata, Aves, Galliformes, Numididae. The transcript is spliced from 4 exons. The record is from RefSeq and is a predicted model, not a curated record.